RNAcentral lists this unclassified non-coding RNA (378 nucleotides) under plant metagenome. Its description in RNAcentral is "partial contains 5.8S ribosomal RNA, internal transcribed spacer 2, and large subunit ribosomal RNA". The stretch from base 1 to 105 matches the Rfam family "5.8S ribosomal RNA", at positions 50 to 154 of the family's 154-position model. The record is from RNAcentral.
GAAAUGCGAUAAGUAGCGUGAAUUGCAGAAUUCAGUGAAUCAUCGAAUCUUUGAACGCACCUUGCGCUCCUUGGUAUUCCUUGGAGCAUGCCUGUUUGAGUAUCAUGAAAUCUUCAAAGUAAAUCUUUUGUUAACUCAAUUGGUUUCUACUUUGGUAUUGGAGGUCUUUGCAGCUUCACACCUGCUCCUCUUUGUUCAUUAGCUGGAUCUCAGUGUUAUGCUUGGUUCCACUCGGCGUGAUAAGUUAUCUAUCGCUGAGGACACUGUAAAAGGUGGCCAAGGUAAAUGCAGAUGAACCGCUUCUAAUAGUCCAUUGACUUGGACAAUACUUUUAUGAUCUGAUCUCAAAUCAGGUAGGACUACCCGCUGAACUUAAGC